Molecule: ribosomal RNA, 460 nt
Filed under: uncultured bacterium
Lineage: Bacteria
Description: partial 16S ribosomal RNA
Rfam family: Bacterial small subunit ribosomal RNA
Source: RNAcentral
CCUACGGGAUGCAGCAGUGAGGAAUAUUGGUCAAUGGGCUUACGCCUGAACCAGCCAAGUCGCGUGAGGGAAGACUGCCCUAUGGGUUGUAAACCUCUUUUGUCAGGGAGCAACGCCGGCUACGUGUAGCCGGACUGAGAGUACCUGAAGAAAAAGCAUCGGCUAACUCCGUGCCAGCAGCCGCGGUAAUACGGAGGAUGCGAGCGUUAUCCGGAUUUAUUGGGUUUAAAGGGUGCGUAGGCGGAAUGCCAAGUCAGCGGGAAAAUCGCGGGGCUCAACCUCGCUCCGCCGUUGAAACUGGCGUUCUUGAGUGGGCGAGAAGUAUGCGGAAGGCGUGGUGUAGCGGUGAAAUGCAGAGAUAUCACGCAGAACUCCGAUUGCGAAGGCAGCAUACCGGCGCCCAACUGACGCUGAAGCACGAAAGCGUGGGUAUCGAACAGGAUUAGAUACCCUGGUAGUC